Molecule: ribosomal RNA, 460 nt
Filed under: uncultured bacterium
Lineage: Bacteria
Description: partial 16S ribosomal RNA
Rfam family: Bacterial small subunit ribosomal RNA
Source: RNAcentral
CCUACGGGAGGCAGCAGUGAGGAAUAUUGGUCAAUGGGCGCGAGCCUGAACCAGCCAAGUCGCGUGAGGGAUGACGGCCCUACGGGUUGUAAACCUCUUUUGCCGGGGAGCAACGGGCGCCACGUGUGGCGCCACUGAGAGGACCCGGAGAAAAAGCAGCGGCUAACUCCGUGCCAGCAGCCGCGGUAAUACGGAGGAUGCGAGCGUUAGCCGGAUUUAUUGGGUUGAAAGGGUGCGUAGGCGGAUCGUUAAGUCAGUGGUCAAAUUGAGGGGCUCACCCCCUUCCCGCCAUUGAAACUGGCGCUCUUGAGUUGACGUGAAGUAUGCGGACUGCGUGGUGUAGCGGUGACCUGCAUAGAUAUCACGCAGAACCCCGCUUGCGAAGGCAGCAUGCCGGCUUCCGCCUGCCGCUGACGCACGAAAGCGUGGGGAUCGAACAGGAUUAGAUACCCCUGUAGUC